CCUACGGGUGGCAGCAGUGAGGAAUAUUGGUCAAUGGACGAGAGUCUGAACCAGCCAAGUAGCGUGAAGGAUGACUGCCCUAUGGGUUGUAAACUUCUUUUAUAUGGGAAUAAAAUGUUCCACGUGUGGGAUUUUGUAUGUACCAUAUGAAUAAGGAACGGCUAACUCCGCGCCAGCAGCCGCGGUAAUACGGAGGAUCCGAGCGUUAUCCGGAUUUAUUGGGUGUAAGGGGAGCGUAGGCGGAUUGUUAAGUCAGUUGUGAAAGUUUGGGGCUCAACCGUAAAAUUGCAGUUGAAACUGGCAGGCUUGAGUACAGUAGAGGUGGGCGGAAUUCGUGGUGUAGCGGUGAAAUGCUUAGAUAUCAGGAAGAACUCCGAUUGCGAAGGCAGCUCACUGGACUGCAACUGACACUGAGGCUCGAAAGUGUGGGUAUCAAACAGGAUUAGAUACCCCUGUAGUC
This 460-nucleotide ribosomal RNA is filed under the name uncultured bacterium. RNAcentral describes it as "partial 16S ribosomal RNA". It matches the Rfam family "Bacterial small subunit ribosomal RNA", at positions 338 to 795 of the family's 1533-position model. The record is from RNAcentral.